AAAGAGAAGGUCAUUAUUGGUUCAAAAAUUGAACAAACAUUAAAAUAUUGAAUGAUAUGAUUUUCGAGUAAAAGGAGGCAAUAAAAACAAUUUGAUAUAAUUCGUUUUAGUUCAAAUUUGACCAUUCAUCAUACCUUCUAUGUAUAUAUAUAUAUCGAAUAUAUAAAGAUGUAAAAUAACAAUUAUGUAUAGCUAAAUUUUAAUUAUUCUAAUCGUGUUAGCAUUAUAUAAAAUCCAAU
This 239-nucleotide long non-coding RNA is filed under the name Mytilus galloprovincialis (Mediterranean mussel). Lineage: Eukaryota; Metazoa; Mollusca; Bivalvia; Mytilida; Mytilidae. The record is from RNAcentral.